GGAGCCAAACGUUGGACGCUACAAUGGCAUUGUAGAGGUCGCCGGUUCGAUCCCGGCUGGCUCCACCA
Molecule: transfer RNA, 68 nt
Filed under: Alphaproteobacteria bacterium
Lineage: Bacteria; Pseudomonadati; Pseudomonadota; Alphaproteobacteria
Description: tRNA-OTHER
Rfam family: tRNA
About the family: Transfer RNA (tRNA) molecules are approximately 80 nucleotides in length. Their secondary structure includes four short double-helical elements and three loops (D, anti-codon, and T loops).
Source: RNAcentral